This is an RNA transcript of Mus musculus (house mouse), 8918 nucleotides long. It is a transcript of the gene named CCR4-NOT transcription complex, subunit 1, with no coding region annotated. The transcript has 49 exons. Lineage: Eukaryota; Metazoa; Chordata; Mammalia; Rodentia; Muridae. The record is from RefSeq and is marked validated.
GGGGCGUGCGACUACAUAACCCAGGAUGCAAAGGACCUCAACUUUGCCCCGCGUCUGACGCCUUCUGAUGACUGGUGCUCCUUGCUAAAGAGAUCCGAGGGGUGGACAAUGCUUCCGCUGGGAACCCGCACAGCCUCUCGGACCGUGACAUUUCGAAAGACGAAGGAAAGUAGACGAGCAUCACCCUGUCUCUAAGUUAGAGUAGUUUGUGCGCAGGGUGGCAAUGCAUUAACGAGCUCCCUUCCGUAUUUUUUUGUUUCCCGGAGGCAAUGACCAGCCAGUCCCCAUAGGUCGAACACCUCGAAGGCUUAUGUCUUCGAGUCCCAAAUCGAAGUUCCCAACGUCUAACCAUUGGCUUACACCCGGGUGCGCAGGCGCCCAGACUCGGACCCAGUCCCAGGGCUGAUGAGCGGCAAUUGGCCUGAGCCCCGCAAACUAGGAGUCUGGAUUGGUGGUUGCUAGCAGGAGCCUGGUUUCUUCCUCGACUUCUGCGAGUGAUUAGUGUGUGAUUGGUUUAAAUCCGCGGGUACCCAUCGGCGAUUGGACCGCCGUUGCGGUCAGCGCGCGGCCAUUGGCUGGGCGCUAGGGCCAUCCCUCCGCCAAAGCGGGCAGCGAAUGGUGAAAUGGGAACUGGGAGGGGAAAGGCCGCGACGUGAGCGCGCGACCUCGGGCGCCAUUUUGUCGAGAAAACAAGCGGAGUUAACCGAAGAGGGGGGUCGAGGAGAGCCGGAGUCGAGGACCCAGGAGUUUCCUGUGUCCAGCGCUGCGGGAGCCGACUGAGGUGCCAUGUUUCAGAACAGAGUAAGACACUUGGUAAAGAAGAACUGAAGACAUUUACAGAUAACAGAGAUAGCCUAAUUACAAAGAAAGCAUUAACCUGCCUCUGAGGUGACUAAAGGGGAAUAAUGGUGAUUUUGCGCCGGGCUCGGCCGCCUGCUUCCGCCCCAACCAGCAAUGAAUCUUGACUCGCUCUCGCUGGCCUUGUCUCAAAUCAGCUACCUGGUGGACAAUUUAACCAAGAAAAACUACCGAGCCAGCCAGCAGGAAAUACAGCAUAUUGUGAAUCGGCACGGUCCUGAGGCAGACAGGCAUUUAUUACGCUGCCUAUUUUCACAUGUGGAUUUCAGUGGCGAUGGUAAAAGCAGUGGCAAAGAUUUCCAUCAGACACAGUUUCUGAUUCAGGAGUGUGCCUCGCUGAUUACAAAGCCAAAUUUUAUCUCAACAUUGUCAUAUGCCAUUGAUAAUCCAUUGCACUACCAGAAGAGUUUAAAGCCUGCACCCCACUUAUUUGCCCAGCUGAGUAAAGUUCUCAAGCUAAGUAAAGUACAGGAGGUCAUUUUUGGUCUUGCCCUUUUGAAUUCUUCUAGCCCAGAUCUCAGGGGUUUUGCUGCCCAGUUUAUUAAACAGAAGCUUCCGGAUCUUCUGCGUUCUUACAUUGACGCAGACGUCAGUGGAAAUCAAGAAGGUGGCUUCCAAGAUAUAGCAAUAGAGGUCCUACACCUCCUACUCUCCCAUCUCCUCUUUGGGCAGAAGGGAGCCUUUGGAGUUGGACAGGAACAGAUAGACGCCUUUCUUAAGACACUACGCAGAGAUUUUCCCCAAGAGCGCUGUCCUGUGGUGCUUGCACCACUUUUAUACCCUGAAAAACGGGACAUUCUAAUGGACAGGAUUUUGCCUGAUUCUGGAGGGGUAGCUAAAACCAUGAUGGAGAGCUCGCUAGCUGACUUCAUGCAGGAAGUGGGCUAUGGCUUUUGUGCAAGUAUUGAAGAAUGUCGCAAUAUAAUCAUGCAGUUUGGUGUUCGGGAGGUCACAGCUGCCCAGGUUGCCAGGGUUUUGGGAAUGAUGGCUCGGACUCAUUCAGGAUUAACAGACGGUAUUCCAUUACAGAGCAUCUCUGCUCCUGGCAGUGGGAUCUGGAGCGACGGAAAAGAUAAAAGCGAGGGGGCACAGGCACACACGUGGAAUGUCGAGGUUUUGAUUGAUGUUCUUAAAGAGCUGAACCCGAGUUUGAAUUUCAAGGAAGUAACUUAUGAACUGGACCAUCCUGGAUUUCAGAUUCGUGACAGCAAAGGACUUCACAAUGUGGUUUAUGGCAUUCAAAGGGGUCUGGGCAUGGAAGUGUUUCCAGUAGAUUUUAUAUAUAGGCCUUGGAAACAUGCAGAAGGCCAGCUCUCCUUCAUCCAGCAUUCCCUGAUAAACCCAGAGGUCUUCUGUUUUGCUGACUACCCCUGUCACACUGUUGCCACUGAUAUUUUGAAAGCACCACCAGAGGAUGACAAUCGAGAAAUUGCCACAUGGAAAAGCUUGGAUUUGAUUGAAUCUCUGCUGAGGCUUGCAGAGGUUGGGCAGUAUGAGCAAGUGAAACAACUCUUCAGCUUCCCUAUCAAACACUGUCCAGACAUGUUGGUAUUGGCCUUACUUCAAAUCAACACUUCCUGGCACACCCUACGCCAUGAACUCAUCUCUACUUUGAUGCCAAUUUUCCUUGGAAACCAUCCUAACUCUGCCAUUAUUUUGCACUAUGCAUGGCAUGGGCAGGGGCAGUCUCCAUCAAUUCGCCAACUUAUAAUGCAUGCAAUGGCAGAAUGGUACAUGAGAGGGGAGCAGUAUGAUCAGGCCAAAUUGUCUCGAAUACUUGACGUGGCCCAGGACUUGAAGGCCCUGUCGAUGCUGCUGAACGGCACUCCAUUUGCUUUUGUCAUUGACCUUGCUGCACUCGCUUCACGGCGGGAAUACCUCAAACUUGACAAGUGGCUAACAGAUAAGAUAAGAGAGCAUGGGGAGCCUUUUAUACAAGCAUGUAUGACUUUUUUAAAGAGAAGGUGCCCUUCUAUUUUGGGUGGACUUGCCCCAGAGAAAGAUCAGCCCAAAAGUGCUCAACUUCCCGCUGAAACUCUGGCAACAAUGUUGGCUUGUCUGCAGGCUUGUGCAGGGAGUGUUUCUCAAGAGUUAUCAGAGACCAUCCUCACCAUGGUAGCCAAUUGCAGUAAUGUAAUGAAUAAGGCCAGACAGCCACCACCUGGAGUUAUGCCAAAAGGUCGCCCUCCUAGUGCUAGCAGCUUAGAUGCCAUUUCUCCUGUUCAGAUUGACCCUCUUGCUGGAAUGGCAUCUCUUAGUAUAGGUGGUUCGGCUGCCCCUCACACCCAGAGCAUGCAGGGUUUUCCUCCAAAUCUGGGUUCUGCGUUCAGUACCCCUCAGUCACCAGCAAAAGCAUUUCCACCACUUUCAACCCCAAAUCAAACAACGGCCUUCAGUGGGAUUGGAGGACUCUCCUCACAGCUUCCAGUAGGUGGUCUUGGCACAGGAAGCCUGACUGGCAUAGGAACUGGGGCCCUUGGACUUCCUGCAGUGAACAAUGAUCCUUUUGUACAGAGGAAACUGGGCACCUCUGGACUCAACCAGCCUACAUUCCAGCAGAGUAAGAUGAAACCUUCCGACUUGUCUCAGGUGUGGCCAGAGGCAAAUCAGCACUUUAGUAAAGAAAUUGAUGAUGAAGCAAACAGUUAUUUCCAGCGAAUAUAUAAUCACCCACCACAUCCAACCAUGUCUGUUGAUGAGGUAUUAGAAAUGCUACAGAGAUUUAAAGACUCUACAAUAAAAAGGGAACGAGAAGUAUUUAACUGUAUGCUGAGGAACUUGUUUGAAGAAUACCGGUUUUUCCCUCAGUACCCUGAUAAAGAAUUACAUAUAACAGCUUGCUUGUUUGGUGGCAUAAUUGAAAAAGGACUGGUCACUUACAUGGCAUUGGGUCUGGCCCUGCGAUAUGUUCUUGAAGCCUUACGGAAGCCUUUUGGAUCCAAAAUGUAUUAUUUUGGUAUUGCUGCACUAGAUAGAUUUAAAAAUAGAUUGAAGGACUAUCCUCAGUAUUGUCAGCACCUGGCUUCUAUCAGCCACUUUAUGCAGUUCCCACAUCAUUUGCAGGAGUACAUUGAGUACGGACAGCAGUCUCGAGAUCCUCCUGUGAAAAUGCAGGGCUCUAUUACUACCCCUGGAAGUAUUGCACUGGCUCAGGCCCAGGCUCAGGCCCAGGUUCCAGCAAAAGCUCCUCUUGCCGGUCAGGUUAACACAAUGGUAACCACCUCAACAACCACCACUGUUGCUAAAACGGUUACAGUCACCAAGCCAACGGGAGUCAGCUUUAAGAAAGAUGUGCCACCUUCUAUAAAUACAACAAAUAUCGAUACAUUGCUUGUGGCCACAGAUCAAACUGAGAGGAUUGUGGAGCCCCCAGAAAAUAUUCAAGAGAAAAUUGCUUUUAUUUUCAACAAUCUCUCCCAGUCAAAUAUGACACAGAAGGUUGAAGAGCUUAAAGAAACUGUGAAGGAAGAAUUUAUGCCUUGGGUUUCCCAGUAUCUGGUUAUGAAAAGAGUCAGUAUUGAGCCAAACUUUCAUAGCCUGUAUUCAAACUUUCUUGAUACAUUGAAGAAUCCUGAAUUUAACAAGAUGGUUCUGAAUGAAACCUACAGAAACAUUAAAGUGCUGCUGACUUCUGAUAAAGCUGCGGCCAAUUUCUCAGAUCGUUCUUUGCUGAAGAACUUGGGACAUUGGUUAGGAAUGAUCACAUUAGCUAAAAAUAAACCCAUCUUACACACAGACUUGGAUGUGAAAUCUUUGCUGUUAGAGGCUUACGUUAAAGGACAGCAAGAGUUGCUCUAUGUGGUGCCCUUUGUUGCCAAAGUUCUAGAGUCCAGCAUUCGCAGCCUGGUUUUUAGACCACCAAACCCCUGGACAAUGGCAAUUAUGAAUGUAUUGGCUGAGCUGCAUCAGGAGCAUGACUUAAAGUUAAACCUGAAGUUUGAGAUUGAGGUGCUCUGUAAGAACCUUGCAUUAGACAUCAAUGAGCUCAAACCUGGAAACCUGCUGAAAGAUAAAGAUCGUCUGAAGAACUUAGAUGAGCAACUCUCUGCUCCAAAGAAAGAUGUCAAGCAGCCCGAAGAGCUUCCUGCCAUCACAACAACAACAACUUCUACAACACCAGCUACCAGUACUACGUGUACAGCCACAGUUCCACCACAGCCACAGUACAGCUACCACGACAUCAAUGUCUACUCUCUAGCAGGCCUGGCACCUCAUAUUACUCUAAACCCUACAAUCCCUUUAUUUCAAGCUCAUCCUCAGCUGAAGCAGUGUGUGCGGCAAGCAAUUGAAAGAGCUGUCCAGGAGCUUGUCCAUCCUGUGGUGGAUCGCUCAAUUAAGAUUGCUAUGACUACGUGCGAACAGAUAGUCAGAAAGGACUUUGCCCUGGAUUCUGAGGAGUCUCGAAUGAGAAUAGCAGCUCAUCACAUGAUGCGGAACUUGACAGCUGGAAUGGCUAUGAUUACUUGCAGGGAACCUUUACUGAUGAGCAUAUCCACCAACCUCAAAAACAGCUUUGCCUCAGCCCUGCGUACUGCAUCCCCACAGCAAAGGGAAAUGAUGGACCAGGCUGCUGCUCAGUUAGCUCAGGACAAUUGUGAAUUAGCUUGUUGUUUUAUUCAGAAAACUGCAGUGGAGAAAGCAGGCCCUGAGAUGGACAAGAGAUUGGCAACUGAAUUUGAGCUGAGGAAGCAUGCCCGGCAAGAAGGACGUAGGUACUGUGAUCCUGUGGUCUUAACCUACCAAGCCGAGCGGAUGCCGGAGCAGAUCAGGCUGAAAGUUGGUGGUGUGGACCCAAAGCAGCUAGCCGUCUAUGAAGAGUUUGCACGAAAUGUGCCUGGCUUCUUACCUACAAAUGACUUAAGUCAGCCUACAGGGUUUUUAGCUCAGCCCAUGAAGCAAGCUUGGGCAACUGAUGAUGUAGCGCAGAUUUAUGAUAAGUGUAUUACAGAACUGGAGCAGCACCUACACGCCAUUCCACCCACUCUGGCCAUGAAUCCUCAAGCCCAGGCUCUCCGAAGUCUUUUAGAGGUUGUAGUGUUGUCUCGGAAUUCUCGGGAUGCGAUAGCUGCUCUUGGAUUACUACAGAAGGCUGUAGAAGGCUUAUUAGAUGCCACAAGUGGUGCUGACGCCGACUUACUGCUGCGAUACAGGGAGUGCCACCUGUUGGUACUGAAAGCUCUGCAGGAUGGCAGGGCAUAUGGAUCUCCAUGGUGCAACAAACAAAUCACAAGGUGCCUAAUUGAAUGUCGAGAUGAAUAUAAAUAUAAUGUGGAGGCUGUGGAAUUGUUAAUUCGAAAUCAUUUGGUUAACAUGCAGCAGUAUGAUCUUCAUCUUGCUCAGUCGAUGGAGAAUGGCUUGAACUAUAUGGCCGUGGCGUUUGCUAUGCAACUGGUAAAAAUUCUGCUGGUGGAUGAAAGGAGUGUUGCCCAUAUUACUGAGGCAGAUCUGUUCCAUACCAUUGAAACCCUCAUGAGAAUUAAUGCUCAUUCCAGAGGCAAUGCUCCAGAAGGGUUGCCCCAGCUGAUGGAAGUGGUGAGAUCCAACUAUGAAGCAAUGAUUGAUCGUGCUCAUGGAGGCCCUAACUUUAUGAUGCAUUCUGGGAUCUCUCAAGCCUCAGAAUAUGAUGACCCUCCAGGCCUGAGGGAGAAGGCAGAGUAUCUUCUGAGGGAAUGGGUGAAUCUCUACCAUUCAGCAGCAGCUGGCCGCGACAGUACCAAAGCAUUCUCUGCGUUUGUUGGACAGGUAGAGCUUUUGGAAAGAAAGAUGCACCAACAAGGAAUACUUAAAACUGAUGACCUCAUAACAAGGUUUUUUCGUCUUUGCACUGAAAUGUGUGUUGAAAUCAGUUACCGUGCUCAGGCGGAGCAGCAGCACAAUCCUGCGGCUAACCCUACCAUGAUCCGGGCCAAGUGCUACCACAACCUGGAUGCCUUUGUCCGCCUCAUUGCACUGUUAGUGAAGCACUCUGGGGAGGCCACCAACACUGUCACAAAGAUCAACCUGCUCAAUAAGGUUCUCGGUAUAGUAGUGGGAGUUCUCCUACAGGAUCAUGAUGUUCGGCAGAGUGAAUUUCAGCAACUUCCGUACCAUAGGAUUUUUAUCAUGCUGCUGUUGGAGCUCAAUGCACCCGAGCAUGUGUUGGAAACCAUUAAUUUCCAGACUCUUACUGCUUUCUGCAAUACAUUCCACAUCUUGAGACCUACUAAAGCUCCUGGCUUUGUAUAUGCUUGGCUCGAAUUGAUUUCCCAUCGGAUCUUUAUUGCAAGAAUGCUGGCACAUACGCCACAGCAGAAGGUGUGGCUGCAGUUUAUCUCCUACAGAUGAAGCCUGGGUGGCCUAUGUAUGCUCAGCUGUUGAUUGAUUUAUUCAAAUAUUUAGCACCUUUCCUUAGAAAUGUGGAACUCACUAAACCUAUGCAAAUCCUCUACAAGGGUACUCUGAGAGUGCUGCUGGUUCUUUUGCAUGAUUUCCCAGAGUUCCUUUGUGAUUACCAUUAUGGGUUCUGUGAUGUGAUCCCUCCUAAUUGUAUCCAGUUAAGAAAUUUGAUCCUGAGUGCCUUCCCAAGAAACAUGAGGCUCCCAGACCCAUUCACUCCUAAUCUGAAGGUGGACAUGUUAAGCGAAAUUAACAUCGCACCUCGGAUCCUCACCAAUUUCACUGGAGUGAUGCCGCCUCAGUUCAAAAAGGAUUUGGAUUCUUAUCUUAAAACUCGGUCGCCGGUCACUUUCCUGUCUGAUCUGCGUAGUAACCUACAGGUAUCUAAUGAGCCCGGGAAUCGCUACAACCUCCAGCUUAUCAAUGCAUUGGUGCUCUACGUAGGGACUCAGGCUAUCGCACACAUCCACAACAAGGGCAGCACGCCCUCAAUGAGCACCAUCACCCACUCAGCACACAUGGACAUCUUCCAGAACCUGGCUGUGGACCUAGACACUGAGGGCCGAUAUCUCUUCUUAAAUGCAAUUGCGAACCAGCUACGGUACCCAAACAGCCACACUCACUACUUCAGCUGCACAAUGUUGUACCUUUUUGCUGAGGCGAACACUGAGGCAAUCCAGGAACAGAUCACAAGGGUUCUCUUGGAACGGUUGAUUGUAAAUAGGCCACAUCCUUGGGGUCUUCUUAUCACCUUCAUUGAGCUGAUUAAAAACCCAGCAUUUAAGUUCUGGAACCAUGAAUUUGUACACUGUGCCCCAGAGAUUGAAAAGUUAUUUCAGUCUGUUGCACAGUGCUGCAUGGGACAGAAGCAGGCUCAGCAAGUGAUGGAGGGGACCGGUGCCAGUUAGAUGAACUGUGUAUAUCCCUUGCAGAUGCAUCAGCCUUGGUCCGCUGAACCAAGUUCAUAAACUGAAGAUUCCUCCUGACUUUCCUAGCCCUUUGGUUCUCAGGGGUCUGCCCCACCAACUGCUGGGGUUGAUCUCCUGUCUAUGUGGGCAAGUUCCAAAGUUUAAAUGCAUUUUUUUUUUGACUCUUGGCCAAAAUUUAGAAGAUGCUGUGAAUAUCAUUUUGAACUUGUGUAAAUAUAUGAAAGAGAAAACUUUUGUCUGAAACUUCUUGGGUUUGUGUAAAGUGUGUACGUAUGUAAACUACCUUGUAACAGGCAGUUGAUGGCAUGCUCUUGUCUCAAGCAUAGCAGCAUGUCUUCCGACAUCCAUGACAUUCCAAAGAUUAGCAAAUACUGAAUUCAUGCAAUUUUUUUUUAAAACGUAGCUAAGGAAGCUUACAAAGCCACAUAAGUUAUAAGUGUAGACUAGAUAGACCAGGGGGUUCUGCUUGCCUCUGGAAAGGUAGUUGACCUGCUUUGGUGGUCCUAAGGGAGAACAUACCCAAAGAGGAACAUCUCUGGCCUGCGAUUCUGCUUCACCUUGUUUAGGCUGUACAGCCUAGUUAAACAACAAAAGUCAAAAAGACUACUACAGCUGCUGCUUUUUAUAAGGAUCAGGAUCGUAAAUGUUCCGUGAACAGCUAGGCCCGUGUUAUAUUUUGUAGCCUUUGUAGUUUCUGGGCCUUAAUCAGCUUUCAUGUAUGUGUGAAGACGGUAAACAUUAAAGUCAUGACAUGCA